GCCCUCUGGAGAAUCCCGAUAAACGGGUGCCGAAGGUGAAAGUGGAAAAUAGUCCGCGAAUCUCUCAGGCAAAAGGACAGUGAAG
This 85-nucleotide non-coding RNA is filed under the name uncultured Oliverpabstia sp. RNAcentral describes it as "Glycine riboswitch". The stretch from base 6 to 80 matches the Rfam family "Glycine riboswitch aptamer", at positions 11 to 84 of the family's 94-position model. Rfam says of the family: This family represents the bacterial glycine riboswitch. Glycine riboswitches usually consist of two metabolite-binding aptamers domains with similar structures in tandem. Lineage: Bacteria; Bacillati; Bacillota; Clostridia; Lachnospirales; Lachnospiraceae. The record is from RNAcentral.